Molecule: ribosomal RNA, 496 nt
Filed under: uncultured bacterium
Lineage: Bacteria
Description: partial 16S ribosomal RNA
Rfam family: Bacterial small subunit ribosomal RNA
Source: RNAcentral
AUGAACGCUGGCGGCGUGCCUAAUACAUGCAAGUCGAGCGAACAGACGAGGAGCUUGCUCCUCUGACGUUAGCGGCGGACGGGUGAGUAACACGUGGAUAACCUACCUAUAAGACUGGGAUAACUUCGGGAAACCGGAGCUAAUACCGGAUAAUAUAUUGAACCGCAUGGUUCAAUAGUGAAAGACGGUUUUGCUGUCACUUAUAGAUGGAUCCGCGCCGCAUUAGCUAGUUGGUAAGGUAACGGCUUACCAAGGCAACGAUGCGUAGCCGACCUGAGAGGGUGAUCGGCCACACUGGAACUGAGACACGGUCCAGACUCCUACGGGAGGCAGUAGUAGGGAAUCUUCCGCAAUGGGCGAAAGCUUGACGGAGCAACGCCGCGUGAGUGAUGAAGGUCUUCGGAUCGUAAAACUCUGUUAUUAGGGAAGAACAAAUGUGUAAGUAACUAUGCACGUCUUGACGGUACCUAAUCAGAAAGCCACGGCUAACUACGUG